RNAcentral lists this ribosomal RNA (484 nucleotides) under uncultured bacterium. Its description in RNAcentral is "partial 16S ribosomal RNA". It matches the Rfam family "Bacterial small subunit ribosomal RNA", at positions 30 to 507 of the family's 1533-position model. The record is from RNAcentral.
AUUGAACGCUGGCGGCAGGCCUAACACAUGCAAGUCGAGCGGAUGAAGGGAGCUUGCUCCUGGAUUCAGCGGCGGACGGGUGAGUAAUGCCUAGGAAUCUGCCUGGUAGUGGGGGAUAACGUCCGGAAACGGGCGCUAAUACCGCAUACGUCCUGAGGGAGAAAGUGGGGGAUCUUCGGACCUCACGCUAUCAGAUGAGCCUAGGUCGGAUUAGCUAGUUGGUGGGGUAAAGGCCUACCAAGGCGACGAUCCGUAACUGGUCUGAGAGGAUGAUCAGUCACACUGGAACUGAGACACGGUCCAGACUCCUACGGGAGGCAGCAGUGGGGAAUAUUGGACAAUGGGCGAAAGCCUGAUCCAGCCAUGCCGCGUGUGUGAAGAAGGUCUUCGGAUUAUAAAGCACUUUAAGUUGGGAGGAAGGGCAGUAAGUUAAUACCUUGCUGUUUUGACGUUACCAACAGAAUAAGCACCGGCUAACUUCGUG